This 359-nucleotide ribosomal RNA is filed under the name Streptococcus agalactiae. Its description in RNAcentral is "bacterial SSU rRNA". It matches the Rfam family "Bacterial small subunit ribosomal RNA", at positions 1 to 349 of the family's 1533-position model. Lineage: Bacteria; Bacillati; Bacillota; Bacilli; Lactobacillales; Streptococcaceae. The record is from RNAcentral.
UUUUAAUGAGAGUUUGAUCCUGGCUCAGGACGAACGCUGGCGGCGUGCCUAAUACAUGCAAGUAGAACGCUGAUGUUUGGUGUUUACACUAGACUGAUGAGUUGCGAACGGGUGAGUAACGCGUAGGUAACCUGCCUCAUAGCGGGGGAUAACUAUUGGAAACGAUAGCUAAUACCGCAUAAGAGUGAUUAACACAUGUUAGUUAUUUAAAAGGAGCAAUUGCUUCACUGUGAGAUGGACCUGCGUUGUAUUAGCUAGUUGGUGAGGUAAAGGCUCACCAAGGCGACGAUACAUAGCCGACCUGAGAGGGUGAUCGGCCACACUGGGACUGAGACACGGCCCAGACUCCUACGGGAGGC